This 336-nucleotide long non-coding RNA is filed under the name Lathyrus oleraceus (garden pea). RNAcentral's name for it is "Pisum sativum (pea) long non-coding RNA (PSAT_LNC013934)". Lineage: Eukaryota; Viridiplantae; Streptophyta; Magnoliopsida; Fabales; Fabaceae. The record is from RNAcentral.
AUACUUUGCAUCAAUAAUAGGUUAACCCUCGAUGCGCCAUAUUUCGAGUCCUUUGAUUUGUUAAUAGAAUGACCCAUAUGUGGUUUCCUUGAUUUGCCUCUUCAUUCUUUCCAUUUUCAUAUUUUCUUUUCUUUUUGAUCAUUGUGUAACAUUGUUGCUUGAGAUUAACUUUGUGUUAAUUCUCUAACUUAUCGGACACAUACAUUGUUAUUGACCGGCCUAAGAUAGGUAUGGCUUCUACAUAAGCCUACUUACGAUUGCUUAACAUAGCGCUAAAUUGUCCUGACACAAUUCAUUGACCAUUAACUAUUAACAUUACUUCUUGCUCUUUACAUU